RNAcentral lists this ribosomal RNA (254 nucleotides) under uncultured bacterium. RNAcentral's name for it is "partial 16S ribosomal RNA". It matches the Rfam family "Bacterial small subunit ribosomal RNA", at positions 524 to 776 of the family's 1533-position model. The record is from RNAcentral.
UACGGAGGGUGCAAGCGUUAUCCGGAUUCACUGGGUUUAAAGAGCGCGUAGGCGGUUUGGUAAGUUGGAAGUGAAAUCCCGGAGCUUAACUUCGGAAUUGCUUUCAAAACUACUUGACUAGAGUAUGGUAGGGGGUGAUGGAAUUCCUAGUGUAGAGGUGAAAUUCUUAGAUAUUAGGAGGAACACCGGUGGCGAAGGCGGUCACCUGGGCCAUUUACUGACGCUGAGGCGCGAAAGCGUGGGGAGCAAACAGG